Molecule: ribosomal RNA, 423 nt
Filed under: uncultured bacterium
Lineage: Bacteria
Description: bacterial SSU rRNA
Rfam family: Bacterial small subunit ribosomal RNA
Source: RNAcentral
AAGACCUUGCGCUUUUGGAGCGGCCGAUGCCUGAUUAGCUUGUUGGUAAGGUAAAAGCUUACCAAGGCUUCGAUCAGUAGCUGGUCUGAGAGGACGACCAGCCACACUGGGACUGAGACACGGCCCAGACUCCUACGGGAGGCAGCAGUGGGGAAUUUUGGACAAUGGGGGCAACCCUGAUCCAGCCAUGCCGCGUGAGUGAAGAAGGCCUUCGGGUUGUAAAGCUCUUUCAGCCGGAACGAAACGGUUACGGAUAACACCCGUGACUACUGACGGUACCGGAAGAAGAAGCACCGGUUAACUACGUGCCAGCAGCCGCGGUAAUACGUAGGGUGCGAGCGUUAAUCGGAAUUACUGGGCGUAAAGGGUGCGCAGGCGGUUUUGUAAGUCAGAUGUGAAAUCCCCGGGCUUAACCUGGGAACU